UUGAUAGUAUCUUUUGCCCUACAAAAGCUU
Molecule: non-coding RNA, 30 nt
Filed under: Mus musculus (house mouse)
Lineage: Eukaryota; Metazoa; Chordata; Mammalia; Rodentia; Muridae
Source: RNAcentral